This 274-nucleotide ribosomal RNA is filed under the name uncultured bacterium. RNAcentral's name for it is "partial 16S ribosomal RNA". It matches the Rfam family "Bacterial small subunit ribosomal RNA", at positions 523 to 796 of the family's 1533-position model. The record is from RNAcentral.
AUACGAAGGGGGCUAGCGCUGUUCGGAUUUACUGGGCGUAAAGCGCACGUAGGCAGAUUGAUUAGUUAGGGGUGAAAUCCCGAGGCUCAACCUCGGAACUGCCUUUAAUACUGUCAAUCUCGAGACCGGAAGAGGUGAGUGGAACUCCUAGUGUAGAGGUGGAAUUCGUAGAUAUUAGGAAGAACACCAGUGGCGAAGGCGGCUCACUGGUCCGGUACUGACGCUGAGGUGCGAAAGCGUGGGGAGCGAACAGGAUUAGAAACCCUAGUAGUCC